GGUUUUCGGCGAAUAUUGCCGGGAUUAAUUUUGUUGGUUGUGUACUUUUGUGUCGUUGACUGCCAAAAUGAAGUCUGACGAAGGGAAGUUCGCGUUCGUAAGUACGGUUACCAGUGGGCUUAGUUAGUCGGUGUGUUAGAGAGUCGUGCAGUACAAUCCGGUGGGGACGUAUGGAAUAAUCGUUUAAGAGUGCAUCGCGCUAAGUUCAUUGGGCUGUAUUUUACGAAAUCCUACCUGCUUUCUGGUGGUGUUUUCAUAAAUGAUCGAAGAUUUUUAGGUUAUGGGGAUGUUUGGUAGUUGGUUUUCUAUAGGUGAUGUUGGUUGGCCUGAUUAAUUGUCGCAGUUUCUGCAAAUUUAGUUCCAAGAAUUGUAUAAACAGGGAAGAUGUCGCUGCUGAAUCCGCGUGACGUGUUGAGUGCCUGCAUGCCAACAUGACGUAUGACGAGGAGAAGUGUCGUAUCCGAAAGUACGGUUACCAGUGGACGCUUUCACUCGGUCUGUUGUGUUAUAGAUAGUCGUGUAGGCGUGCCUGCAAGCAUAUAGGAUACUUUAGCCGUUACGCAGUUUCGAGUCCAUCAUUACUACAGAGGUAGCAAGACUUUGCACCGGGAGCUGACAUGAUGGACACAAUUCAUCAGGCGAUGCGGUUGGGAUGACCCACAGACACGUAGUGGCAGCCUCAGUUUUUGUGACUUGCUUGAGGAAAUGCAGUAGGUUUUUAUUUAAAUUUGUGUAAGAGCUUAUCGCAGCGGACAAGAUAGAAGUAAGUAGCUAGAGUUACAGGUUGCAAUGUUGGUUAUGUGGCCACCACAACACAGGUGCACACCUUAGAUUCGUUGUGACAAAGUAUCGGGUGUUCGUAGCAUGCCUCACAAAUCUACAAGGAAGACCUCGGGCCCUCGUGCGAUUUCCUUGCUUUCCGAGGAGGCGUACGGUCAUAGAUUUAGUGGGAGUGCCUUGUCUGUCUCAAAGAGUAGUUUGAGAUCAGGGGAUGUGCUGAGUGGCAACUUUCUUGUGAACUGUAUGUGUAGUUUGUGGGCCGGUAUCACGGUGUCACGCGAAGACAUGGCAGACCAAUUUGUCUGAAUAUCAGUGUUUCAGAAGAUCAGUUGUGUUGGCGAUAGGGAACCAGCUUGUUUGGAGUUGGAGGUGUGAAGAACCAGAAAGAAUGAAGCACCUGGAGCGUUUGUGACUUGGAUAAGGAAGUGCAGUAUUCGGGACACCGGCCGUGCAGUCAUCAUGACCGCUACCUCCUUCAGAUCCCUUUUGUGUAUUCUGUUUGACAAGGCUGGGGUGAAGUACCAGAACGAUAUUGGCCGCGGUUAGGUGGCCUCAUACAGCAGGAGUACACCAACACUAGACAGACUGACAUCCGAAAGAAGACCACUUGUGUCCCCGAUGGUUGGCCGUCCUGUUGCUCAGUGCGUACAUGGAGAAGAGGACUGAAUGCAGCAUGUAAAUUUUGUGUGCCUCUGGAGACGUGGUGCAGUAGGCUGUUAUUUAACCCAUUCGCAGGGGCUUGCUCUGUUGUGAUAAUUGUGUUUCAGGUGUGAUACCAACUUAGUAUGUCAAUCAUGUGAAAUGCGUGUGUGUGUCCGUGUAAGGUGUGGAUGUCUAGUUAUGUGUGUAGGGUGUUCUAUAGAGGGUGAGAAAAAUAAUAAAAAUGUCGGCCGCAUUCACAUUGCGUUAAUAAGGCACUGCUUCAUAGUGUGGUGGCUAACACAUGUUGGAAUGAGAGAGUUUGUCAUGUGUGUGUAAGGCUUUAAGUUGCAGGUACUCUUGGCUUUGGCCGCAGCUUGUCACCAGAGAUGUGAUUCCUCUUCCUGGAAAGAAUGUGGUUUUCCCUUUAAUCAGCUUCAUUCCAUUUCACAUUCUCGGUUGAAGCUAAUGCCACAGCAAGAACUUCCAAACCUCGGUCAUUCUGCAUCUGUUCCACAGCGGAUAGUGUGUGCUCUGCAGUUUCACUCGUUUAGCAAGCGUGGUGGGUUGACUUGAGGUGCUUACUCAGAUGUUGAUGGUAACUUGUAGGCAUGCAGUUGCUAGCGCCCACCGAGAACCUGUUCAGUGAUGAAGAACUCUGGCAUAGCUAUACCGGACAGUUUUGAUAAUCAUGGAUGUCCGUUCUCUGACCCAAGAAGACUUUAAAAAUGUGCUGACGGCGCAUUACUUAGUUUGCUUUUUCUCUAUGGAAAUCGGUAAAAAAAAAAAGAUUUCAAAGCAGGAGGUAAUGGGAAUAUUUAGUGAUCAUCACCGAGAGGGAGUUUCCAAACAGUACUUAUCGGGGGAUGCACAUUAGGAGUUGUCCCAUGAUUGAAACUUGUUGACUUGCCAGUGAAGUGAUUGCUCUAUAUAAGACAGGACACCGGCCGUGCAGUCAUCAUGACCGCUACCUCCUUCAGAUCCCUUUUGUGUAUUCUGUUUGACAAGGCUGGGGUGAAGUACCAGAACGAUAUUGGCCGCGGUUAGGUGGCCUCAUACAGCAGGAGUACACCAACACUAGACAGACUGACAUCCGAAAGAAGACCACUUGUGUCCCCGAUGGUUGGCCGUCCUGUUGCUCAGUGCGUACAUGGAGAAGAGGACUGAAUGCAGCAUGUAAAUUUUGUGUGCCUCUGGAGACGUGGUGCAGUAGGCUGUUAUUUAACCCAUUCGCAGGGGCUUGCUCUGUUGUGAUAAUUGUGUUUCAGGUGUGAUACCAACUUAGUAUGUCAAUCAUGUGAAAUGCGUGUGUGUGUCCGUGUAAGGUGUGGAUGUCUAGUUAUGUGUGUAGGGUGUUCUAUAGAGGGUGAGAAAAAUAAUAAAAAUGUCGGCCGCAUUCACAUUGCGUUAAUAAGGCACUGCUUCAUAGUGUGGUGGCUAACACAUGUUGGAAUGAGAGAGUUUGUCAUGUGUGUGUAAGGCUUUAAGUUGCAGGUACUCUUGGCUUUGGCCGCAGCUUGUCACCAGAGAUGUGAUUCCUCUUCCUGGAAAGAAUGUGGUUUUCCCUUUAAUCAGCUUCAUUCCAUUUCACAUUCUCGGUUGAAGCUAAUGCCACAGCAAGAACUUCCAAACCUCGGUCAUUCUGCAUCUGUUCCACAGCGGAUAGUGUGUGCUCUGCAGUUUCACUCGUUUAGCAAGCGUGGUGGGUUGACUUGAGGUGCUUACUCAGAUGUUGAUGGUAACUUGUAGGCAUGCAGUUGCUAGCGCCCACCGAGAACCUGUUCAGUGAUGAAGAACUCUGGCAUAGCUAUACCGGACAGUUUUGAUAAUCAUGGAUGUCCGUUCUCUGACCCAAGAAGACUUUAAAAAUGUGCUGACGGCGCAUUACUUAGUUUGCUUUUUCUCUAUGGAAAUCGGUAAAAAAAAAAAGAUUUCAAAGCAGGAGGUAAUGGGAAUAUUUAGUGAUCAUCACCGAGAGGGAGUUUCCAAACAGUACUUAUCGGGGGAUGCACAUUAGGAGUUGUCCCAUGAUUGAAACUUGUUGACUUGCCAGUGAAGUGAUUGCUCUAUAUAAGACAGGUAGGCGUGCCUGCAAGCAUAUAGGAUACUUUAGCCGUUACGCAGUUUCGAGUCCAUCAUUACUACAGAGGUAGCAAGACUUUGCACCGGGAGCUGACAUGAUGGACACAAUUCAUCAGGCGAUGCGGUUGGGAUGACCCACAGACACGUAGUGGCAGCCUCAGUUUUUGUGACUUGCUUGAGGAAAUGCAGUAGGUUUUUAUUUAAAUUUGUGUAAGAGCUUAUCGCAGCGGACAAGAUAGAAGUAAGUAGCUAGAGUUACAGGUUGCAAUGUUGGUUAUGUGGCCACCACAACACAGGUGCACACCUUAGAUUCGUUGUGACAAAGUAUCGGGUGUUCGUAGCAUGCCUCACAAAUCUACAAGGAAGACCUCGGGCCCUCGUGCGAUUUCCUUGCUUUCCGAGGAGGCGUACGGUCAUAGAUUUAGUGGGAGUGCCUUGUCUGUCUCAAAGAGUAGUUUGAGAUCAGGGGAUGUGCUGAGUGGCAACUUUCUUGUGAACUGUAUGUGUAGUUUGUGGGCCGGUAUCACGGUGUCACGCGAAGACAUGGCAGACCAAUUUGUCUGAAUAUCAGUGUUUCAGAAGAUCAGUUGUGUUGGCGAUAGGGAACCAGCUUGUUUGGAGUUGGAGGUGUGAAGAACCAGAAAGAAUGAAGCACCUGGAGCGUUUGUGACUUGGAUAAGGAAGUGCAGUAUUCGGGACACCGGCCGUGCAGUCAUCAUGACCGCUACCUCCUUCAGAUCCCUUUUGUGUAUUCUG
Molecule: non-coding RNA, 4257 nt
Organism: Zootermopsis nevadensis
Lineage: Eukaryota; Metazoa; Arthropoda; Insecta; Blattodea; Termopsidae
Source: RefSeq, a predicted model, not a curated record